Molecule: long non-coding RNA, 882 nt
Filed under: Lathyrus oleraceus (garden pea)
Lineage: Eukaryota; Viridiplantae; Streptophyta; Magnoliopsida; Fabales; Fabaceae
Description: Pisum sativum (pea) long non-coding RNA (PSAT_LNC040231)
Source: RNAcentral
AAGUAAAUCAUAUGAUAAAAUUACACAAAACCUCCGCCGAGAAAAAAAAGGUUUUACCAAAACCUCCGACNGUAAUAUGUUCUCUAAAGUAAAUCAUAUGAUAAAAUUACAGAAUAUCUUAAAAUUUCAAUACUUAUUACAGUUUAAAAGAUAAAGUAAAAAAUAAAUAUAUAUAAUAAAAAAUAGAAAAAUUAAAGUAAUAAAAAAAGGUAAUUUAAAAAGAAAAGUGUUUCCGAAUACUGGUGAUUUCAGACUGGGCGGAGACGAAUUCCGGCGAGUCUAGGGUUUAAAAGUAAAUCAUAUGAUAAAAUUACACAAAACCUCCGCCGAGAAAAAAAAGGUUUUACCAAAACCUCCGACAUCGCCGCCGCUUCUUGUAGUCGUCUUCAUCAUCCUCCGUCGCCAUCUUCAACAUCACAAACUCCGAUAACUAAACCCUAACUUCAAUUCUGUUCGAUUCGAAUAGAUUGAUUGUUUGAUCCAUGGGGAAGAAAGGAGGAGCGAAAAAUCUCCCAAAACCGGAAUCAAAAUCUCACACUCCUAUUACACUGAGAGAAGAAGCCACUGGAAAAUUAAAAACGAAGCCAAUCGUUAACACAAAAAGAAAGGAGGAGCGAAAAAUCUCCCAAAACCGGAAUCAAAAUCUCACACUCCUAUUACACUGAGAGAAGAAGCCACUGGAAAAUUAAAAACGAAGCCAAUCGUUAACACAAAGUCACAUCUGAGAAUUGAUCAUUUGAAAAAACUUGCGGUGUGGACCACUACUAACCCUCACAUACCGUCUUUGAGUGCCUUCUAUGGUCAGCAUUUGGCCACCGUUUCAGAGUCUGCUGGUGUACCUCCUCAUCCUUCUCUACUCACUUGCCAAAGGUUUGCGUUUUC